Long non-coding RNA from Girardinichthys multiradiatus, 371 nucleotides. RefSeq lists it as uncharacterized. The record is from RefSeq and is a predicted model, not a curated record. NCBI's taxonomy places the organism in Eukaryota, Metazoa, Chordata, Actinopteri, Cyprinodontiformes, Goodeidae. The transcript is spliced from 3 exons.
AAAGAUUUGUGACAGUUUAGCUAGUUAUUAGCAAGCAUGCUAGUCAGUGUACUAGUGUUUAAAGAAAAGAGAUGGCAGCAACAAGGCCACAGAGAGUGAAAAGAAAUCACAAACAUGAUGCCAUUUAUUAUUGCUCCUUAGGUGAAGAUAAGGAAGGAUUUGAAAUAAAAUAUUUUAAUUAAUUUAAAGGUUGGGGUGUGUUCAGCUGCCGGUGCUUUCAAAAAGAUUUCCUUAUUGAGUACAGAGGGGAAGUCAUAAAUAGAAAGGAACAAGAAAACCGAUUGAAAGUUUACCAUGAUGCACUUAAGGUUUUUAUGUUUGAUUUCCGGUUCAAUGGACAAUAAUUAUGGUGUGUGACUGUUUUAAUGUGU